RNAcentral lists this long non-coding RNA (299 nucleotides) under Ricinus communis (castor bean). RNAcentral describes it as "long non-coding RNA (RCOM_LNC001240)". Lineage: Eukaryota; Viridiplantae; Streptophyta; Magnoliopsida; Malpighiales; Euphorbiaceae. The record is from RNAcentral.
GCGUCGGCGUCCAUGGUGGACGGACGCUGGAGGCCAGGCCGAGGGCGGCGUUGACGUCGGAAGGAGCGCACGUCAACGGCGAGCACGAUGGUGGCGGUGGAGGCAGCUGGCAGCGUCGGCAGGCGGCGGAAUCGCGCGACGUGUGGCAGCGGCUUUCGAAGGCCGUUCCGGCCGUUUCCGGCGGUGUUGGCGGCCGAGUCGAGUGGCGAUCGGCUCCUCUCGGCAAGGGCUCUCUUUUGGCAGCAGCGGCAACGCCUGUGGUGGCCGGAGACGGAAGAUCCGGUGGAGAGAGAAAGUAG